CCUACGGGAGGCUGCAGUGAGGAAUAUUGGUCAAUGGCCGGAAGGCUGAACCAGCCAUGCCGCGUGAAGGUCAGUGCCCUAUGGGCGUUAAACUUCUUUUGUGCGGGAGCAAUAAUGGUCACGUGUGGCCAGACGAGAGUACCGUACGAAUAAGCAUCGGCUAACUCCGUGCCAGCAGCCGCGGUAAUACGGGGGAUGCAAGCGUUAUCCGGAUUUAUUGGGUUUAAAGGGUGCGUAGGCUGUGAGGUAAGUCAGCGGUGAAAUGCCCCCGCUCAACGGGGUGAAGUGCCAUUGAUACUGCCUUGCUGGAAUGCGGAUGCCGUGGGAGGAAUGCGUGGUGUAGCGGUGAAAGGCGUAGAUAUUAGGAGGAACACCAGUGGCGAAGGCAGCCUGCUGGGCUUUUACUGACGCUGAGGCUCGAAAGUGUGGGGAGCAAACAGGAUUAGAUACCCGGGUAGUC
RNAcentral lists this ribosomal RNA (460 nucleotides) under uncultured bacterium. RNAcentral's name for it is "partial 16S ribosomal RNA". It matches the Rfam family "Bacterial small subunit ribosomal RNA", at positions 338 to 795 of the family's 1533-position model. The record is from RNAcentral.